GACGGAGGGAGCUAGCGUUGUUCGGAAUGACUGGGCGUAAAGGGCGCGUAGGCGGUUUUUUAAGUGAGGCGUGAAAGCCCUGGGCUUAACCCAGGAGGUGCGUUUCAUACUGGAAGACUUGAGUGCGAGAGAGGAAAGUGGAAUUCCUAGUGUAGAGGUGAAAUUCGUAGAUAUUAGGAAGAACACCUGUGGCGAAGGCGGCUUUCUGGCUCGCAACUGACGCUGAGGCGCGAAAGCGUGGGGAGCAAACAGG
This 253-nucleotide ribosomal RNA is filed under the name uncultured prokaryote. RNAcentral's name for it is "partial 16S ribosomal RNA". It matches the Rfam family "Bacterial small subunit ribosomal RNA", at positions 524 to 776 of the family's 1533-position model. The record is from RNAcentral.